This 512-nucleotide ribosomal RNA is filed under the name uncultured bacterium. RNAcentral's name for it is "partial 16S ribosomal RNA". It matches the Rfam family "Bacterial small subunit ribosomal RNA", at positions 28 to 507 of the family's 1533-position model. The record is from RNAcentral.
GAUGAACGCUGGCGGCGUGCCUAAUACAUGCCAGUCGAGCGAAACUUCUUUAUCACCGAGUGCUUGCACUCACCGAUAAAGAGUUGAGUGGCGAACGGGUGAGUAACACGUGGGCAACCUGCCCAAAAGAGGGGGAUAACACUUGGAAACAGGUGCUAAUACCGCAUAACCAUAGUUACCGCAUGGUAACUAUGUAAAAGGUGGCUAUACUACCGCUUUUGGAUGGGCCCGCGGCGCAUUAGCUAGUUGGUAGGGUAAAGGCUUACCAAGGCAAUGAUGCGUAGCCGAAUUGAGAGGUUGAUCGGCCACAUUGGGACUGAGACACGGCCCAAACUCCUACGGGAGGCAGCAGUAGGGAAUCUUCCACAAUGGGCGAAAGCCUGAUGGAGCAACGCCGCGUGGGUGAAGAAGGUCUUCGGAUCGUAAAACCCUGUUGUUAGAGAAGAAAGUGCGUGAGAGUAACUGUUCACGUUUCGACGGUAUCUAACCAGAAAGCCACGGCUAACUACGUG